Molecule: long non-coding RNA, 250 nt
Filed under: Solanum tuberosum (potato)
Lineage: Eukaryota; Viridiplantae; Streptophyta; Magnoliopsida; Solanales; Solanaceae
Description: long non-coding RNA (STUB_LNC001411)
Source: RNAcentral
UUCUGUAGGAGCUUAUUUAGUUUCCAAAAAUAUAAAACCAUUGAUAAUUUAAUAAACUGUGGAUAUCUUGGAGAGUUGAUGCAUGCAUCCAUAGACACAAUACCUGAAGCAUAAAAGACAGAUAAAACAAAAGACAAAUAAAAGGAAAACAAAUGAAGAUGAAACAAAGAAUCCUUAAGCUUCACGCGCUUUGGCGCAAGUAAACAGAAAAGAUACUUGCCUCACCAACUUCUCCUCUGACACGAUUUAG